Molecule: ribosomal RNA, 373 nt
Filed under: uncultured organism
Description: partial 16S ribosomal RNA
Rfam family: Bacterial small subunit ribosomal RNA
Source: RNAcentral
GUAGGUGGCAAGCGUUGUCCGGAAUUAUUGGGCGUAAAGCGCGCGCAGGCGGUUCUUUAAGUCUGAUGUGAAAGCCCACGGGCUCAACCGUGGAGGGUCAUCGGAAACUGGAGAACUUGAGUACAGAAGAGGAAAGCGGAAUUCCACGUGUAGCGGUGAAAUGCGUAGAGAUGUGGAGGAACACCAGUGGCGAAGGCGGCUUUCUGGUCUGUAACUGACGCUGAGGCGCGAAAGCGUGGGGAGCAAACAGGAUUAGAUACCCUGGUAGUCCACGCCGUAAACGAUGAGUGCUAAGUGUUAGGGGGGUUUCCGCCCCUUAGUGCUGCAGCUAACGCAUUAAGCACUCCGCCUGGGGAGUACGGCCGCAAGGCUG